RNAcentral lists this transfer RNA (76 nucleotides) under Amborella trichopoda. Its description in RNAcentral is "tRNA AMTR_s00229t00274130". It matches the Rfam family "tRNA". Rfam says of the family: Transfer RNA (tRNA) molecules are approximately 80 nucleotides in length. Their secondary structure includes four short double-helical elements and three loops (D, anti-codon, and T loops). Further hydrogen bonds mediate the characteristic L-shaped molecular structure. tRNAs have two regions of fundamental functional importance: the anti-codon, which is responsible for specific mRNA codon recognition, and the 3' end, to which the tRNAs corresponding amino acid is attached (by aminoacyl-tRNA synthetases). tRNAs cope with the degeneracy of the genetic code in two manners: having more than one tRNA (with a specific anti-codon) for a particular amino acid; and 'wobble' base-pairing, i.e. permitting non-standard base-pairing at the 3rd anti-codon position. Lineage: Eukaryota; Viridiplantae; Streptophyta; Magnoliopsida; Amborellales; Amborellaceae. The record is from RNAcentral.
AAGCGAGGUAGAGUAAUUGGUCAACUCAUCAGGCUCAUGAUCUGAGGACUACAGGUUUGAAUUCUGUCUCCGCCUA